This is a non-coding RNA of Salvelinus sp. IW2-2015, 1394 nucleotides long. Lineage: Eukaryota; Metazoa; Chordata; Actinopteri; Salmoniformes; Salmonidae. The record is from RefSeq and is a predicted model, not a curated record.
UAUAGUUYUAUCUAGAAAGUAUAAAUGUUGAAUGUUUUACAAUUUAAAUGUGUAUGAAAUUCACUGAGGAUGGUCCACCCAUUCCUCCUCUGAGGAGCCUCCACUGGUGCAGACCAAGAAUGGGAAGGUCAGUGAAAUGGGAAGGUCAGGUGAAACAGAUCAGGGCGUGACACUAAUAUGUGUUUCUAUAACAUUCUAAGAAAACUAAGGAUCAAAUCAUCCAGGCUAACCCAGCUCUGGAGGCAUUUGGUAAUGACAAGACCAUUAGAAAUGACAACUCCUCAAGAUUUGAGAGUUUCUGAUAGAUAUUCAGAUUGAUUUAAUACAGCAUUAAUCACCUGAAAAUAAACUAACAAACAUUUUAUGUUUCGGGUAAAUUUAUCAGGAUUAAUUUUGACACUAGAGGAAAACUCACUUCUGCUAAAAUUGAGACAUGUCCAAAGAAAGUGGCUGAAAGAAAUGUCAUUUUCUACUGUUCUAAAUCUCCUUCUUUCCAGACCUUCUGGAAAGUCUUGUGUCACUUUUGAGCUGAAGGCUGAGAGACUACCACGUCUUCUAUCAGAUCUUGUCAAACAAGAAACCUGAAUUACUGGAGACGCUGCUGGUGACAGCUAAUCCAUAUGACUCUACCUUCAUCUCCCAGGGGGAGACAAGUGUUGUCUAUUGAUGACGCUGAUGUUGGGAACAGAUAGUGCUUUUGAUUUGCUGGGCWUUACUGUGGAGAAGAAAAACUCAGUGUAUAAGCUGACUGGUGCUAUCAUGCACUAUGGCAAUAUGAGGUUCAAGCAGAAACAGUGCGAGGAGCAGGCAGAGGCUGAUGGAACGGAAUGUGAGAGCAGGCUAAAAGCCAAAAGCAGAGCAUUGUUCUGUGAAUCCAUAGGUAAAGCAUUACAACUCACUGAUUUUCUUUCCCAGGUGCUGACAAAGUAUCAUAUCUUAUGGGCCUGAACUCUGCUGACCUCAUAAAGGGUCUCUGUCACCCACAGGUAAAAGUAGRGAAUGAGUGUGUCAAAGGGAAAACUGUCCAAGAGGUGAGUGAUGGGAUAUUUCACACAGGGGAGAGCAACAAGUGGAUGAUGUGAAAUCCUAUAUAGAGAUUAGAUAGCAUUUUUCCAUUCUAACAAACCACUAGCUCGAAGACGCCAGGCUCCCCAGCAUUACUCACUCAUACCACCAUCAUUACGAAYACCUGCCUUCUCCCGUCAUACGCAUCAGCAAUUAUUGGACUCACCUGGACUCAGUCACCUGUGUCAUUACCUCCCCUAUAUCUGUCUGUUCUCAAGUUCUGUUCCUCGCUUCAGGAUUAAUUGUCAUAUGUCGUUGUGUUACCCGUGUGCUGACGCUGUUCCUGUCUUGUUCCAUGUCUGUUACUUAUUAAAUAUUGACUCCCCGUA